CAACUUUCAACAACGGAUCUCUUGGUUCUGGCAUCGAUGAAGAACGCAGCGAAAUGCGAAAAGUAGUGUGAAUUGCAGAAUUCAGUGAAUCAUCGAAUCUUUGAACGCACAUUGCGCCCCUUGGUAUUCCAUGGGG
RNAcentral lists this ribosomal RNA (136 nucleotides) under Pyrenochaeta sp. MUT 4378. RNAcentral describes it as "partial 5.8S ribosomal RNA". It matches the Rfam family "5.8S ribosomal RNA", at positions 1 to 135 of the family's 154-position model. From Rfam's summary of the family: 5.8S ribosomal RNA (5.8S rRNA) is a component of the large subunit of the eukaryotic ribosome. Lineage: Eukaryota; Fungi; Ascomycota; Dothideomycetes; Pleosporales; Cucurbitariaceae. The record is from RNAcentral.